RNAcentral lists this RNase P RNA (497 nucleotides) under Candidatus Zambryskibacteria bacterium RIFCSPHIGHO2_02_38_10.5. RNAcentral describes it as "RNase P RNA component class A". It matches the Rfam family "Bacterial RNase P class A". Rfam says of the family: Ribonuclease P (RNase P) is a ubiquitous endoribonuclease, found in archaea, bacteria and eukarya as well as chloroplasts and mitochondria. The record is from RNAcentral. RNAcentral also lists the same sequence under 3 other names. Lineage: Bacteria; Candidatus Zambryskiibacteriota.
GCAGUAUGCUGGGUAGAUGCUCUUUUGCUAGAAAUGGUGAAGGGGAGGAAAGUCCGAACAUCAAGUUUGCUAACACGAAAGUAGUUAGCAAAAUAGGGUAGCGGGUAACGCCCGUCUCCAGCUCCAAUUCUGAAACUGAAUCCAAGCAACAAAAAAUAAUAAGAAAAAUACUAUUCAUUUAGUGUUUCUAAAAUAUCAGUGUCAGAAUUGGGGCUGGAAGAGGUGCGAGCAGAGACGCGACUUCACGAAAGUGAAGAGAAUCUUGCUAACACUCGGUGUUAGCAAGAUUAGUCUUACGGUGACGUAAGAGUGAAACGGCAAAAUCCUUACCUUGAUGCAAGGCCGUAUCCAGCCCCACUUUUAUUAAAAGUGGGGCUGGAAGUGCCGCUUGACUCCAAGAGUAAUUUUGGAGCUAGAUAAAUAUCUAUCGUCCAGCCCCACUUUUUAUUUAAAAGUGGGGCUGGAUACAGAAUUCGGCUUAUAGGCAUACAAAUAAA